RNAcentral lists this ribosomal RNA (555 nucleotides) under Triticum aestivum (bread wheat). RNAcentral describes it as "partial small subunit ribosomal RNA". Lineage: Eukaryota; Viridiplantae; Streptophyta; Magnoliopsida; Poales; Poaceae. The record is from RNAcentral.
AUGACUGGCCCUAAGCGAGGGAUAGAUAUCGCGGAUAGUGUUCUAAUUGAAUAUGACAUGAGGAUCAAGGCUGGUGAAGAAGAAAAGGAUGACAUACAAUUGAUUGAUGGUGCAUCAAUCAUAGGCCACGAAGGCAAAUGGGAUCAGCCAUUCACAUUUCGCAUUCCUGGUGAUGGUGGUGCGGUUGACAUAAUUUUAUCAUGUCUUUUAUAUGCAGUUGAGGCGACUGUAGAGGUUCUUAUAUCGGAAGUUCAAAGCAGUUUUAAUUUGUCUAUCGAAUGUUUAAGUAGUGGGUUUGGUGAGGAAAUCCGGCUCUUCGAUGGUGCGGUUGCUGAAUCACGUGGCUUAAAGAGGUCUGUGGUUGCUGUAUUGAAAAAUUCUUCGAUAGAUUUGGAGUUCAAGGUUGCUGCACUGUCAUCCCGUUCCGACCACCAACAUUGUUGUUCUUUCAAGGCUAAAACGCAUGGGCAUGAUAAUCAAGAAAUAAAGAAUGAUUUUGCGGUAAUCUCGGUGAAGGUGACUUGGUCGACGUUGCCUGCUAGCUUAUCUGACUAA